UCCGGCUUAUCACCGGCAGUUUCCUCAGAGUUCUCAGCAUUACCUGUUAGCAACGGAGGACGAGGGUUGCGCUCGUUGCGGGACUUAACCCAACAUCUCACGACACGAGCUGACGACAGCCAUGCAGCACCUGUGCUCUCUCCGGCCGAACCGAAGGACUCCAUUUCUGGUGUCCGCGAGAGGCAUGUCAAGGCCUGGUAAGGUUCUUCGCGUUGCCUCGAAUUAAACCACAUGUUCCACCGCUUGUGCGGGUCCCCGUCAAUUCCUUUGAGUUUUAAUCUUGCGACCGUACUCCCCAGGCGGGGUGCUUAACGCGUUAGCUGCGCCACUGAGAGGUAACCCCCCAACGGCUAGCACCCAUCGUUUACAGCGUGGACUAC
Molecule: unclassified non-coding RNA, 380 nt
Filed under: uncultured Rickettsiales bacterium
Lineage: Bacteria; Pseudomonadati; Pseudomonadota; Alphaproteobacteria; Rickettsiales
Description: contains 16S-23S intergenic spacer region
Source: RNAcentral